This is a long non-coding RNA of Cherax quadricarinatus, 617 nucleotides long. RefSeq lists it as uncharacterized. The record is from RefSeq and is a predicted model, not a curated record. Lineage: Eukaryota; Metazoa; Arthropoda; Malacostraca; Decapoda; Parastacidae.
CGCUAUAACUUCCACCAUCCUUGCCUUUAGCUGAAACCAAGCCUAAUUUUUUCUAUUUGAAGGCGAGUUGAUGAAGGUUUCAUCAGUCUUGCACUGGACCCCGGAGAGGUACGCCUAAGGACGGAGGAGAGUGAAAUAUAGGCAAUAUUCGCACGAUGGACGGUGGAGAGAGUAGGAGGGAAGCUAAAAAGGAGGAAGAAGAGUGCUGGUGCCGGGGGCCAAAAGGAGGACCCGGGGAUCGUCCUUGUACACUUGUCCAGCAUUGGAAUGUCGGUCUCUCGAGAGGACGAUUACCUUUCCGAGUGCAUAGUUGCCUGCGGAAGAAACUGCCUUGGACCAGACAGGAAGCGAUGACAAGGUAUUCAUGGAGCAGUCAGGCCACAGACACGGCCUUUUCCGCCUACAAGCAGGAAGCCUACCUACGGUAUGUGUCCUUUGUAAUGUAUUCUAUUUUCGCCCAUUGCUCUCUUGAGGUUAUUGUUGAAUAGCCUACAUUCGUAUGUUGUUCGCUGAGGUUAUUGUUGAAUAUACUUGUCAUUUUCACUUAUUAUAUUUGUUAGUAUCUGUAUUAAAGUAGCACUUUCAAGGGAUCUCUUCCUAAUUGUGUAUUUUAUGGA